UACGGGGGGGGCAAGCGUUGUUCGGAAUUACUGGGCGUAAAGGGCUCGUAGGCGGCCAACUAAGUCAGACGUGAAAUCCCUCGGCUUAACCGGGGAACUGCGUCUGAUACUGGAUGGCUAGAGGUUGGGAGAGGGAUGCGGAAUUCCAGGUGUAGCGGUGAAAUGCGUAGAGAUGUGGAGGAACACCGAUGGCGAAGGCAGCCCCCUGGGCUAACACUGACGCUCAUGCACGAAAGCGUGGGGAGCAAACAGG
RNAcentral lists this ribosomal RNA (253 nucleotides) under uncultured bacterium. RNAcentral describes it as "partial 16S ribosomal RNA". It matches the Rfam family "Bacterial small subunit ribosomal RNA", at positions 524 to 776 of the family's 1533-position model. The record is from RNAcentral.